Molecule: ribosomal RNA, 273 nt
Filed under: uncultured bacterium
Lineage: Bacteria
Description: partial 16S ribosomal RNA
Rfam family: Bacterial small subunit ribosomal RNA
Source: RNAcentral
AAGUUUGAUGGCGACCGGCGCACGGGUGAGUAACACGUAUCCGAACCUGCCGAUGACUCGGGGAUAGCCUUUCGAAAGAAAGAUUAAUACCCGAUGGCAUAGUUCUUCCGCAUGGUAGAACUAUUAAAGGAUUUCGGUCAUCGAUGGGAUGCGUUCCAUUAGGUUGUUGGCGGGGUAACGGCCCACCAAGCCUUCGAUGGAUAGGGGUUCUGAGAGGAAGGUCCCCCACAUUGGAACUGAGACACGGUCCAAACUCCUACGGGAGGCAGCAUG